Molecule: long non-coding RNA, 436 nt
Filed under: Carica papaya (papaya)
Lineage: Eukaryota; Viridiplantae; Streptophyta; Magnoliopsida; Brassicales; Caricaceae
Description: long non-coding RNA (CPAP_LNC007238)
Source: RNAcentral
UGGGCAAUCCCUAGAUUCCCUAAAUUUUUCUCCAGGAACUGAAACACACUUCCGGUACCUACACGUGUCCCGAAAAAACUCAAAAUCAUAUCCAGGGCCUAACUCGGCCAAUUUCAGAAUUCCGGCACAUCGACUCCGCCGUGCUCCGACGACGGCACCACCACCUACAGCGGCGAUCCGCCUCGGGUUGGCCAUUUUGGGUCAAAUUCAGCCAAACUUGCAUUGGUUCCUGCGAUAAAACAACCCUAGGGCCCUCGGUGGGCCAAACAAUCACGAAAAAUCGAGACUUACUGACGGCGGAGCUCUCGGGUGCGACAACUUCUCCGGCGCGAGUCGCGAUUAUAUUUUGCUCUAGUUAACCUGUAGAGAAAAGGACGGUGAUCACAGUGGUGUAAAAAUUGCAUCAAACGGGAACCGGGAAGGACCUCAUCGGAGG